This 462-nucleotide ribosomal RNA is filed under the name uncultured bacterium. RNAcentral describes it as "partial 16S ribosomal RNA". It matches the Rfam family "Bacterial small subunit ribosomal RNA", at positions 28 to 507 of the family's 1533-position model. The record is from RNAcentral.
GACGAACGCUGGCGGCGUGCUUAACACAUGCAAGUCGAACGGAAAGGCCCUUCGGGGUCCUCGAGUGGCGAACGGGUGAGUAACACGUGGGUGAUCUGCCCUGCACUUUGGGAUAAGCCUGGGAAACUGGGUCUAAUACCGAAUAGGACCACGCGCUUCAUGGUGUGUGGUGGAAAGCUUUUGCGGUGUGGGAUGGGCCCGCGGCCUAUCAGCUUGUUUGUGGGGUAAUGGCCUACCAAGGCGACGAAGGGUAGCCGGCAUGAGAGGGUGACCGGCCACAAUGGGACUGAGAGACGGCCCAGACUCCUACGGGAGGCAGCAGUGGGGAAUAUUGCACAAUGGGCGCAAGCCUGAUGCAGCGACGCCGCGUGAGGGAUGACGGCCUUCGGGUUGUAAACCUCUUUAACCAGGGACGAAGCGUAAGUGACGGUACCUGGAGAAGAAGCACCGGCCAACUACGUG